This 223-nucleotide long non-coding RNA is filed under the name Capsicum annuum. RNAcentral describes it as "long non-coding RNA (CANN_LNC019715)". Lineage: Eukaryota; Viridiplantae; Streptophyta; Magnoliopsida; Solanales; Solanaceae. The record is from RNAcentral.
GGGUUCGAAAUUGAGAGGGCGUCAUGCGGAAGCUAUUAGUUGCAAACUAGGAGAAAUAAAUAAGAUGACAACGAAAAACAAUACUAAAAACAUAAUUUUAUUCUAUGAUUUGACCAAUUGGCCUACAUAUAAAACCUAAUAUUAAAAAUAAUAUUAAAAAGCAUAAAACUAAUGAGAGAGAAAAUUCCCCCCUAAAUGAAACUCUUAAAAGACUACAUUGUGG